GUGUCGCGACAUUAUCUUCGACAUCUCAUAUCUGAUACCAGAAUGAGUGAUCACAUAGCAAAAAGAGUGACUCAAAAAGGCUUAGGGAUCACCAAGUUAUGAGCCUUUGAAGUAAUGAAAAAAAAAAUAGGCAAAAAAAUAAUGAAUAAAAAUGGGUCUGGGGUGAGGGGGAUUCAAACCCCAGACCUCUUGCACACCCAAAGCCUUAACACACACACUCUAACCGCUGGGGCGGUGAUACAUCCAUUAACUUAUUUAUAAACAUUAAUAUAUAUAUAAUAAAAAGAUUCCAGAAACUGGAAAAUGACAUAA
This 312-nucleotide long non-coding RNA is filed under the name Lathyrus oleraceus (garden pea). RNAcentral's name for it is "Pisum sativum (pea) long non-coding RNA (PSAT_LNC034190)". Lineage: Eukaryota; Viridiplantae; Streptophyta; Magnoliopsida; Fabales; Fabaceae. The record is from RNAcentral.